UCGGGAAUUUUGGGCAAUGGGCGAAAGCCUGACCCAGCAACGCCGCGUGAAGGAUGAAGUAUUUCGGUAUGUAAACUUCGAAAGAAUAGGAAGAAUAAAUGACGGUACUAUUUAUAAGGUCCGGCUAACUACGUGCCAGCAGCCGCGGUAAUACGUAGGGACCAAGCGUUGUUCGGAUUUACUGGGCGUAAAGGGCGCGUAGGCGGCAAUUCAAGUCAUCUGUGAAAUCUCCGGGCUUAACUCGGAACGGUCAGAUGAUACUGCUUUGCUAGAGUGCAGAAGGGGCAAUCGGAAUUCUUGGUGUAGCGGUGAAAUGCGUAGAUAUCAAGAGGAA
This 334-nucleotide ribosomal RNA is filed under the name uncultured bacterium. RNAcentral's name for it is "bacterial SSU rRNA". It matches the Rfam family "Bacterial small subunit ribosomal RNA", at positions 355 to 706 of the family's 1533-position model. The record is from RNAcentral.